This 400-nucleotide ribosomal RNA is filed under the name uncultured bacterium. RNAcentral's name for it is "bacterial SSU rRNA". It matches the Rfam family "Bacterial small subunit ribosomal RNA", at positions 359 to 776 of the family's 1533-position model. The record is from RNAcentral.
GAAUAUUGGACAAUGGGGGCAACCCUGAUCCAGCCAUGCCGCGUGUGUGAUGAAGGCCUUAGGGUUGUAAAGCACUUUCGCCGGGGACGAUGAUGACGGUACCCGGAGAAGAAGCCCCGGCUAACUCCGUGCCAGCAGCCGCGGUAAUACGGAGGGGGCAAGCGUUGUUCGGAAUUACUGGGCGUAAAGGGCGCGUAGGCGGCCAGUUGCGUCGGGUGUGAAAGCCCCGGGCUCAACCUGGGAGGUGCACUUGAUACGGGCUGGCUGGAAUCCGGGAGAGGAUGGUGGAAUUCCCAGUGUAGAGGUGAAAUUCGUAGAUAUUGGGAAGAACACCGAUGGCGAAGGCAGCCAUCUGGACCGGGAUUGACGCUGAGGCGCGAAAGCGUGGGGAGCAAACAGG